UUCCAUGUACUGAUGUGCUGUGAAAAAGGGCGACAGCUUUCUAAUUGAUGGCUGGCUACAUGCCUUUUUAUGCCAACAAUAAUCACUUGAUCUGCGGAGCCAACUUCUAUCUGCCCGCUCUGCAACAGUCUCUUGUUCUUCAGAAGGACUUGUUUUAUGGAAGCAUCAGUCCAGAUAUCAAUUCACCUCUACGGUUCUAUUCAUUUUUGCCCCCAUGCAAAAAAUGUAUUUAUUAUACGUUCACGAAUAAUGCCCCUUCCGAUUCAACAGCCACAGGGGCCAAGGUUGAAGACGGUUAUGGCUACCAACUCAAAUAUGCU
Molecule: small RNA, 320 nt
Filed under: Histoplasma capsulatum
Lineage: Eukaryota; Fungi; Ascomycota; Eurotiomycetes; Onygenales; Ajellomycetaceae
Also listed under: 1 other name
Description: hypothetical RNA
Source: RNAcentral